UUGGGUAUAGGGGGUGGCCUGGGGGCACAACGCUUCGAGGCCGGUGGUUGUAGUGGGGGUGGGGGUGGCUCGAGCCUUACCCUUAGGACCCGAGGCCCCACUUUUGAAGAUUAAAAAUUUAUGUUCGGGGUGAGUGUUCUGAAUUUGUUUCGAGAUUUUUUUCCUUUUGAGUUCAAAUUUCAAAAUUCGUAAGAGCCAGCAUGAAAGCUAUUAUCUGAACUGAUUAUGAUAAAAUAUUUGAUGCAAAAUGUUGAAAAACAAAAACCACAAGGAGAAAUUCAAGAAACAGUAGCCGUAGUAGGUCACAAAAUAUAUAUGAACCAAAGAGUGGACAUACUGCUAAGAACUUGACUUGAACCACAACGCCUCAAGGUGGUGGGAGAGCCUUAAGCCUUACUGAGGUCUCGCUCUUGAGUUUUCCAAUUUUCUCAUUUUAUCCCAUCUUUGAGUUCGUCACUAGUUUAGACUUAGAAAUUAAAAGAAAAUAUUAUGUAUAUAAUCUUUCAAAUCAGCUAAUUGGCUUUGGAGUAGUGAACAGGUUACUACUAUGUGUCCAACGAGGCUGUUCUCUGUGUCGACUCUUUCCCGAGCAUGUAUACACAAAUGCUUUGUGGUCUACUUUGAACUAUUCAUUUUUUUCAACUCAAUUGGCAACAACUUGCUAAAGAUAUCUCAGAGUUUCUGACCCUUCAAUUAGGGACUUCAUCUCCAAAUCAUGAAUUUGCGGUCAUUCAUUAUCAAGGAAUGCGAACAACAGAAUUGGGAAGGGAUUAUUACUAGAAUUUGGCCAAAUACAAAGUACUUGGAUGUGAUUGUGACAGCUAUCAGUAUUUUACACUGGACUCACCACCCCGUCUCGUGGAGUGGGAAAAAAUACAAUCUCGUGAUCACAACCUAUGCUGGUAUAUGUCGUUACAGUGUCGGUGACAUACUCCAAGGCUUCACAACUCUGCCCCUCAAUGUUGAGAAAAUUCAUAAGAAGAGAAAAUGUUCUAUUCACUGUGAAUUACUACCCAACCAAUUCGCCUUAGCCACGAGGCUUUGAACCAAUGUUGUUUGGCUAACUUGGUGCCGAGUUGCAGAUAACUCACUUGAAAUUAGAGUAGUGGUAAACGGUAAUAGACUAUGUAAAUUUCUAGAGGUGCUCUAUAAAUCAGUACAAGGCUUCUACCUAUAGGGUAAUUUCAGAAUGGCAGUGUUUACAUGUCUCUGAUGAUGAAGUCAAUUCUCUUUUUUGUUGUUCUUUUGGUAUUUUUGUGUAGUGUUGAAUACAUCGAGUUGAUCAAUGAAUCGGCAGAUGUAAAUAAAUCAUAACACUCAGCUGAUCAUACGAAAAGUCACCCAUUGAAGUAGCUAGCUACGCAUACUUUAAUAUAAUUUUUGUUUUGUUUGAACAGGAAAGUGUAUGUACAGUCGUUUAAAUCGAGCAUAUAUAAUACAAAUUUUCAAGAUGGAAAA
Long non-coding RNA from Solanum pennellii, 1458 nucleotides. RefSeq lists it as uncharacterized. The record is from RefSeq and is a predicted model, not a curated record. Lineage: Eukaryota; Viridiplantae; Streptophyta; Magnoliopsida; Solanales; Solanaceae. The transcript has 2 exons.